CGUUUCUGGCUCCUCCAGUUGGGCAGGGUUAAUGAUCUAGCUAAGGGGCAGAUGCACAGGAAGAUGGGACCGCCCCAAGGAAGAUGAGUUUGCCUUAAGCCAUGCUACAGAGAUAGGAGGACUAAUUUAUCCCUUUAGUAAGAAUCCAGACUAUUAAAGGCAAGAAGCUGGCCCUGUGGCACCAGCACUUGUGAUGCAGAGGCAGAAGGAUCAGGAGUUCAAAGCCAUCAGCUGAAAGUGAAGUCAACUUAGAAAUUCUGGUUGUGCGAGACUACAGUUAAAACAACAACAACAACAACAACAACAACAACAACAACAGAUUCUUACUGUGUAGCCCUGGCUGGCCUAUAACUCCUAUGUAGACCAGGCUGGCCUCGAACUCACAGAUUGGCCUGCCUCUGCCUUCUGUGUUCUGGGUUUAAAGGUGUGUGCUACCGUGCUGGGUUCAAAUGU
Molecule: long non-coding RNA, 453 nt
Organism: Mastomys coucha (southern multimammate mouse)
Lineage: Eukaryota; Metazoa; Chordata; Mammalia; Rodentia; Muridae
Exons: 2
Source: RefSeq, a predicted model, not a curated record